Molecule: non-coding RNA, 71 nt
Organism: Knufia fluminis
Lineage: Eukaryota; Fungi; Ascomycota; Eurotiomycetes; Chaetothyriales; Trichomeriaceae
Source: the annotation of a GenBank genome assembly
GCAUCGGUGGUUCAGUGGUAGAAUUGGUCGUUGCCAUCGACUAGACCCGGGUUCGAUUCCCGGCUGAUGCA